This 520-nucleotide ribosomal RNA is filed under the name Lactobacillus jensenii. RNAcentral's name for it is "bacterial SSU rRNA". It matches the Rfam family "Bacterial small subunit ribosomal RNA", at positions 36 to 517 of the family's 1533-position model. Lineage: Bacteria; Bacillati; Bacillota; Bacilli; Lactobacillales; Lactobacillaceae. The record is from RNAcentral.
AACGCCUGGCGGCGUGCCUAAUACAUGCAAGUCGAGCGAGCUUGCCUAUAGAAAUUCUUCGGAAUGGACAUAGAUACAAGCUAGCGGCGGAUGGGUGAGUAACGCGUGGGUAACCUGCCCUUAAGUCUGGGAUACCAUUUGGAAACAGAUGCUAAUACCGGAUAAAAGCUACUUUCGCAUGAAAGAAGUUUAAAAGGCGGCGUAAGCUGUCGCUAAAGGAUGGACCUGCGAUGCAUUAGCUAGUUGGUAAGGUAACGGCUUACCAAGGCGAUGAUGCAUAGCCGAGUUGAGAGACUGAUCGGCCACAUUGGGACUGAGACACGGCCCAAACUCCUACGGGAGGCAGCAGUAGGGAAUCUUCCACAAUGGACGAAAGUCUGAUGGAGCAACGCCGCGUGAGUGAAGAAGGUUUUCGGAUCGUAAAGCUCUGUUGUUGGUGAAGAAGGAUAGAGGUAGUAACUGGCCUUUAUUUGACGGUAAUCAACCAGAAAGUCACGGCUAACUACGUUGCCAGCAGCCG